RNAcentral lists this RNase P RNA (337 nucleotides) under Luminiphilus sp. RNAcentral's name for it is "RNase P RNA component class A". It matches the Rfam family "Bacterial RNase P class A". Rfam says of the family: Ribonuclease P (RNase P) is a ubiquitous endoribonuclease, found in archaea, bacteria and eukarya as well as chloroplasts and mitochondria. Lineage: Bacteria; Pseudomonadati; Pseudomonadota; Gammaproteobacteria; Cellvibrionales; Halieaceae. The record is from RNAcentral.
UGAGUGGGUCAGACGAUCGCUGUCGUAAUGGCAGAGGAAAGUCCGGGCUCCAACGGGUCAGGACGCCAGGUAACGCCUGGGGGGCGCGAGCCUACGGAAAGUGCAACAGAAAGGAAACCGCCUGCUUGCAGGUAAGGGUGAAAAGGUGCGGUAAGAGCGCACCGCGCGGUUGGCAACAAGCGUGGCGAUGGUAAACCCCGUCCGGAGCAAGACCAAAUAGGAAUCCGAUACCGUGACCCUCGGUGGAUUCGGGUAGGUCGCUUCAGGCGAACGGUGACGUUCGUCGCAGAUGAAUGAUCGUCCAAGACAGAACCCGGCUUAUCGACCAACUCAUUAU